RNAcentral lists this non-coding RNA (24 nucleotides) under Arabidopsis thaliana (thale cress). The record is from RNAcentral. Lineage: Eukaryota; Viridiplantae; Streptophyta; Magnoliopsida; Brassicales; Brassicaceae.
AAAUAAUCUCAAUGCUUGUGGUAC